GACGAACGCUGGCGGCGUGCUUAACACAUGCAAGUCGAACGGAAAGGCCCUGCUUUUGUGGGGUGCUCGUGUGGCGAACGGGUGAGUAACACGUGAGUAACCUGCCCUUGACUUUGGGAUAACUUCAGGAAACUGGGGCUAAUACCGGAGAGGAGCUCCUGCUGCAUGGUGGGGGUUGGAAAGUUUCGGCGGUUGGGGAUGGACUCGCGGCUUAUCAGCUUGUUGGUGGGGUAGUGGCUUACCAAGGCUUUGACGGGUAGCCGGCCUGAGAGGGUGACCGGCCACAUUGGGACUGAGAUACGGCCCAGCCUCCUACGGGAGGCAGCAGUGGGGAAUAUUGCACAAUGGGCGGAAGCCUGAUGCAGCAACGCCGCGUGCGGGAUGACGGCCUUCGGGUUGUACACCGCUUUCGCCUGUGACGAAGCGUGAGUGACGGUAAUGGGUAAAGAAGCACCGGCUAACUACGUG
Molecule: ribosomal RNA, 468 nt
Filed under: uncultured bacterium
Lineage: Bacteria
Description: partial 16S ribosomal RNA
Rfam family: Bacterial small subunit ribosomal RNA
Source: RNAcentral